AUUGAACGCUGGCGGCAUGCUUUACACAUGCAAGUCGAACGGCAGCGCGGGCUUCGGCCUGGCGGCGAGUGGCGAACGGGUGAGUAAUGCAUCGGAACGUGCCCAGUAGUGGGGGAUAGCCCGGCGAAAGCCGGAUUAAUACCGCAUACGACCUGAGGGUGAAAGCGGGGGACCGAAAGGCCUCGCGCUAUUGGAGCGGCCGAUGUCGGAUUAGCUAGUUGGUGGGGUAAAGGCUUACCAAGGCGACGAUCCGUAGCUGGUCUGAGAGGACGACCAGCCACACUGGAACUGAGACACGGCCCAGACUCCUACGGGAGGCAGCAGUGGGGAAUUUUGGACAAUGGGGGCAACCCUGAUCCAGCCAUGCCGCGUGCGGGAAGAAGGCCUUCGGGUUGUAAACCGCUUUUGUUCGGGAAGAAAUCCUGUGGGCUAAUACCCCGGGGGGAUGACGGUACCGGAAGAAUAAGCACCGGCUAACUACGUG
RNAcentral lists this ribosomal RNA (484 nucleotides) under uncultured bacterium. Its description in RNAcentral is "partial 16S ribosomal RNA". It matches the Rfam family "Bacterial small subunit ribosomal RNA", at positions 29 to 507 of the family's 1533-position model. The record is from RNAcentral.